Halichondria panicea is the source of this 621-nucleotide long non-coding RNA. RefSeq lists it as uncharacterized. NCBI's taxonomy places the organism in Eukaryota, Metazoa, Porifera, Demospongiae, Suberitida, Halichondriidae. The record is from RefSeq and is a predicted model, not a curated record. The transcript is spliced from 3 exons.
ACUGAUGAGACACGUGGUAAUCCAGCAUUCCGAGGUGUUCUUACUGACUCCAGUGGACCUCUCACUGCCACUCUCACCUCACUGUCUGAGGCCUCCAUUGUAGAGGGUACUAUGGUGGAGUGUGUGGGAGAGAACUCACGAGAGGGUCCUCUCACUAUCACUGUGGCUGAUCCACCCUCUCCUCCACUCAACCCACGAGUAUCCUCCACUUUAAAUCAACCCAGUUCCUCUAAUAUCUCUCUGAAUUGGGACCCUCCUUCCUCUACUGGUGGUGUGUCCGUCAUGUAUGUCCUCACCAUCUCCCCAACACCUCUCUCCGAGUCACCAGUCACCGUGGAGACAACCUCUGCACAGAUCACUGUCCUAUAUAACAUUCCUUACAAUGUAACCACCAGAGCUGUCAACUGUGCUGGAAUGAGUCAAGAAGUCUAAUUGUGGAUCUUAUUUUGUGCCCCACACCGUCUACUGCUGCUGGUGUGACCAUCACCAACACACCUCCUGUCACUAUUGGUGGAUCCAUGCUCACCUUCACUUGCGGUGGACCCAAUGAAGUGAUAACCUCAACCUGUGGCAGUAGUGGGUGGUCUCCUGACCCUGGGACCUUCGACUGUGGCACCCCAG